This 253-nucleotide ribosomal RNA is filed under the name uncultured bacterium. RNAcentral's name for it is "partial 16S ribosomal RNA". It matches the Rfam family "Bacterial small subunit ribosomal RNA", at positions 524 to 776 of the family's 1533-position model. The record is from RNAcentral.
UACGUAGGGGGCAAGCGUUGUCCGGAUUUAUUGGGCGUAAAGAGCGUGUAGGCGGCCAAGCAGGUCCGCUGUGAAAACUCGAGGCUCAACCUCGAGACGUCGGUGGAAACCGUUUGGCUAGAGUCCGGAAGAGGAGAGUGGAAUUCCCGGUGUAGCGGUGAAAUGCGCAGAUAUCAGGAGGAACACCGAUGGCGAAGGCAGAUCUCUGGGCCGUAACUGACGCUGAGGAGCGAAAGCAUGGGGAGCGAACAGG